Molecule: long non-coding RNA, 4106 nt
Filed under: Olea europaea subsp. europaea
Lineage: Eukaryota; Viridiplantae; Streptophyta; Magnoliopsida; Lamiales; Oleaceae
Source: RNAcentral
ACUUCAUCUUCAUCGGGAUUAGCCUCACUUCCUUCUAUUGAAGGAACUUCAGUUUCAAUUUCACCAUUUCCAGGUUGUGUGAGACUGAAUCUUGUUAACUUCAACUCACUUUGAGGAGUUCUAUUUAUUUCAAGUUCAUAAUCUUAUAAACUUUAUGUUUAAGACAUGGCAUUUCAAAUUCAUUAAAGACAACAUUUCUGUUAUUAAUGAUUUUAAUGCCUUGUACCUGUAGCACCCAUAGCCUGUACCUUUUCACCCCUUCGGGAUAACCUAACAUAACAUAUUUGGUGGCUCUAGGGUCUAAUUUUCCCUCAGUUUGGUAAGUGUAUUCAGCACAUUCAAAAACUCUAAUAUGUGCUAAAUUAGGAGCUUUACCAGUCCACAGUUCCUGUCGGGUUUUAAACCCUAUAGAACUACAUGGUGACCUAUUUAUAAGGUAAGCAACAGUACACUUUGCCUCAUCCCAAAAUCCCUUUGCAAGCCCAGAGCUUAUUAACAAUCACCUAACCUUGUUCAUUAAGGUCCUAUUCAUUCUUUCAACGACCUCAUUUUGUUGCGGGGUGUGCUUUAUAGUUUUGUGUCUAACAAUUCCUUUUUGGUUACAAAAGUUGUCAAAUUCAGCACUGCAAAAUUCCAAUCCAUUAUCAGUCUUUAAGGUUUUCGGCUUCCUAUCAAGUUGAUUUUCAACCAUCCUUAACAAGGUUUUAAACUUUUGAAAUGUUUAAAAUUUAGCUUUUAAAGUAUAAACCCAUACUUUUCUAGAUUAGCCAUCAACUAAAGAUAGGAAGUAUCUAUUCCCACCAAAGGUGGGAUGACUCUUUGGUCCCCACAGGUCUGAAUGAACAUAGUCUAGAGGUCUUCUAGUAGUUUGUGACCCUGCUUUAGAGCUGACUGUAUGAGACUUACCCAAGAUACACGUUUCACAGAAAUCAAGAGGCUCAAUUAUAUCUUUCCCAAGUAGUCUUUGAUAACCUAGAUAUUUCAAGCUAUUGUUUCUAAUAUGCCCCAUUCUAUUAUGCUAACGUGUAGAUUUGUUUUUGUUACAAUAAGGGAACUAGGGCUAUUUGUAGCAAUAGUCUCCCCCAAAAAGGUGGUACAAACCAUUUCUGUUGGGUCCUUUUAGGACAACUAAGGAUCCCUUCAUCAUUUUCAAGAUGAUGAUGUCAGAUUCAAACAUAUGCCCCUCAUCUUCGAGAAUUCCUAGUGAGAUGAGGUUUCUUUUCAGAUUUAGGACAUACCUGACAUUCUUGAUUGGUCUAACAAUGCCAUCAUGCAUUUUGAUAGCAAUGUCACCCAUCCCAACUACAGUUUGAGUAUUAUUUUCUCCCAUAUACACCUUUCUAUGUUCUAUGUCUUUGUAAUUGUAGAACCAAGACUUAACAGAGUCUGAGAUCCAGUCCUUAUUGACUUUCCCACUAGACACAAUUAUAACAUGUAGACUAUUCAAAUCAAGACCUGCGGAGUUAUUCAACUCAGCAUUGUUAUGAUCAUUCCGUUUUCUUUUAAAAUCAUAACAAUCCUUUUUAAAUUGUCCUAGUCUGCCACAAUGAUAGAAUUUUUUGUUGCUUUUGUCUCUGGACAUAGACCUUCCUUUUGACUUUCCCUUUUUCUAUAUUGAAAAUUGUUCUUUCUUUUCUCUAUUCUCCCCCUUAUGAACAUACUUUCUUCUCUAAAGUUAAACACUUUUUUGACCUUUAACUCUCUAGAUCUUAAAGCAUCUAUAACUAUAGCUUAUGUCAACUUAUCCCUUGAGUAUUUUUGGCAUUCCUGACAUGUUUAUAAGAUUUAGGUAAUGAGUUUAAUAAAAUGACAGCAAGAUCCUCAUCUUCAAAUUUAUUUUCAUUUUGUGCAAGACUUUUAACAAUGAUACUAAAUUCACUUAGGUUUGUUUCUAAAUGCUUUCUAGUAUCCAUUCCAAAACUAAACAAUUUUUUCAAGAGAGAUUUUAUUGGUAGAGUCUUGGUUUAGAACAAAUAUCAAAGGCUAUCCACAGAGUUCUUGCAGCUUUUGCUUCAUCAACUUGUCUUACUAUAUCAUCAGAUAACUGCAGAAAUAUAAAGCUAUAUGCAAUUUCAUUCAUGUUCUCAAUCUCAUCAGGUUUUGCUUUAACUUCUGCAGAAAAAGUUUCAAGGUCAUCAAGUGCUUUUGCAACCCUUUGUCGGACCGAAAUGACCCUAAUUUUCUACUUCAAUAUAGAGUAAUCUCUAUUUCCAUCGAAUUGUGAUAAUUCAACCUUCGAACUCAUAACAAGUUCUAUAAAAGAAUGGAUAUUGCUUGUGGACAUUAGUGAUCUUUAAUUCAAGGUCACUUAACAGCAGAAAAGGUUUUAUUAAAACACUUUUUCAAUUCUUUAAAGAAAAACAAGAAGUGAACAAUGCAGGCUUAUAUUCAAUCAAGAAAUUAUCAAUUGCAACAAUAGCAAAUAAUGUGGCACUUUCUUCGAUUAUCAAAUGAUCAUAAAAUUAAUUUAGGGUUCCAAGAAUGAAGCAUGCUCAUAUAUCAAAUAGAUCAAUCAUGUAAGUGCUGAUUUUAAAAAGCAUACAGAGAGCAAUUUAAAUAGAUGCAGAAACAAUAUACUGUAAAAGAAAAUAAUAUGAGAAAUUCAAAACGAUCUCACGAAAUAUUGUUGUACAACAAUAUUUAACUCUAGAACCCCUUAAAAGAUUAUUUUUCAAGAGUCAACCAGCCAAGUUUGUGGAAUCGUAUCUUUUCACCUCUUAUUCUCACCUCACAGAUCCAAGAUUCCAAGUAAGUUUUUCGCAUCGGCGUGGAUCGAGAAAUAGAUUUUAAAAAAAAAAAUCACACAGGGUUUAACAAAGAAAAGGAAACCGCUUUAAAAUUUUAACCAGGAGCCCUAAGAAAGUGGCUCUGAUGCCAUAUGGUUAGGAUUUUCUCUCAAUCACAAUAGUUAACAAAACUAAAAAAUGAACAAGCACACAAGAAAACACAAUGAAAACACCAGAUUGUUCACCCAAUUCAACAGAAAUUGCCUAAUCUGAGGGCUCAAAGAUCAGCCCAAUAGCAAGUGCACAAAAGACGUUCAAGAGAGAGUAAAAUGUUCCAAGAAACCCUAAUUAGAACACGAUUUGACCCCUGAUCCAAAAGGAUCUCCUAAAUCGUGAACCUUAAUCAACACAAAGUACUGAAAACCACAACCUAACCACUAUAUAGGUUAUCGGCCGUUCUCACAGGCUAAAGAGUUACUGUAGCACCACUAGUUUCACAAAUUUCAGCAAAAGAUUAGGAUUUCAUGAGAGAUCUAAGAAAGGAUCAGAAGAAGACGAAGAAAGAAAACUAGAAAAUACUUAGAGAGAAAAACCAAUAGACUCUCAAAACCAAAAGCGAAAGAAUGAGCCAAACCGUCACCUUCUGGGAGGAUUUAGAACCAAGUGAUCAAUCUUAGCCAUUAAUCCAAAUCAAUGGUCCAGAUUCCUUUUCAACUAGCACAACUCAAGUGAAGGUUAAUCCACUAGUUAGGGGUAGCCAUGUGGCUUUCCAUAUCCAACCGAAUUAAUGUAUUAUAGAAAGAUCAUUUUAUCCUUCCAUAAGUUUUGUUUUGAGAAGCACGUUUUUUACAAUUCCUACUUCCUUUAAAAGAGAGAAUAGCCGAAUACUAUUAAUUCUGGUGGCCUCUUUUCACACUGAAUUCGGUUCCAUUAUUGUUCAACAACUAGCUUCUCACUCAUUAAAUUAUCUUCCACUGUUCAUUAAUAAAUAUUUGAAGUAAUUAUUUCUUGCCCAUUUUUCUUUGCCCUAUUUAUUCUCUCAAGUCCUUCAUCCUCCUCUUUUCCUCUCCUAUUCUUGAUCAUGUCUUUGUUGACAGAUUUCCCAAUUAAGAGCUUGUUGGUUGUGGUCGCCUCCACUUCUUUGAAGAGGCUCUCCAUUUCUCCUCCUCCACUCAAAGAAACCAUUGAUAAUCAAUCCGCCUCCACCAGAAGAAACCUUUUCUCCCUCCGUGUGAAGGCUGUGUGUUCUUUGGAUUUUCAAGUAGCAAUUGAAGAUCCAACCAUUCACUAGAUUCUAUGGGAAUAGUUUUAGCUCUUAGGCUUUUAUUUUUAUUUUUCUGCUAUUUUUUAAUUAUUUUUUAAUCUUUCUUUUCUUACCCC